Molecule: long non-coding RNA, 5110 nt
Organism: Diospyros lotus (date-plum)
Lineage: Eukaryota; Viridiplantae; Streptophyta; Magnoliopsida; Ericales; Ebenaceae
Exons: 7
Source: RefSeq, a predicted model, not a curated record
UUUGAACCUCCUUCUGUGUUGCUUUGAGGUCCAUUUCAUCUCUCCUCAGUGUUGGGUGAAAUCCAGGGCAGUCAUCUUCACAACGGCAAUCAUCCCACGCCACGCUUGUUGUUCAUGAAUCAGAUAUUCCCAAAUCAAAUCUUUCAGUUUGCUAAACGGUACGAUUUCUUCUCUUCCAGCUGGGUGUCCCCAAACGGUCUGAUUUCUUCCCUUCCUUCAGGUUCCAGCUGGGUUUUCCGAUAUCCCCAAACGGUCCGAUUUCCAGCUGGGUGUCCGGUGUCCCCAAACGGUUCGAUUUCUUCUAUUCCUUCAUGCUCCAACUGGGUGUCCCCAAACUGUCCGAUUUCCAGCUGGGUGGUGUCCCCAAACGGUCCGAUUUCUUCCUUCAUGCUCCAGCUGGUGUUCCCCAAACGGUCUGAUUUCAUCUUGGCUUGGCGAGCACGUUUCACUGCUCUCCAACGCAACGGCUCAAGAAUCUUGACAUUCCUCUCGUCUCGCUCUAUUUAAACCCUUCGACUCGACUAACAUCGACAGUAGCUCUUCUCUUAUUCUGCCAGGUCCUUCUCUAACUCCGCCCCCUCUCCCUCCAUCUCCUAUUUAUCUGCCCCGUUCAUCUUCUGAUCACAAUCUCCAGUUCAUCGUCUCUUCUCUCAAUACCACCCCCGGGGAACGAGCAGACCACCCAGCAACUUCUGUGGCCUACUGGAUUUGUUUUAAACCUCGUAAUUGACAUCCCACCGGAAUUGCUACACAAGUGGGAGAAGUGCAAAUUGUGAAACUGUGUGGGGUUACUCCACCUGGGAUUGAGUAAUCCCUUUGCUCGGCCUGAUUUGAUGAGAGAUUUCAAAUCCUUACUGGGAACGAUCAGACCACCCAGCAACUUCUGUGGCCUACUGGAUUUGUUUUAAACCUCGUAAUUGACAUCCCACCAGAGUUGCUACACAAGUGGGAGAAGUGCAAAAAUAUUGUGAAACUGUGGUGCGUUUUGAUUAUUGCAUGGAGGAACAGGACAAAUCAGAUAUUCACUGCCUUUUCUACAUUUUAUGCAGCUUGCAUUGUCAGUGGGGUUACUCCACCUGGGAUUGAGUAAUCCCUUUGCUUGGCCUGAUUGGAUGAGAGAUGUCAAAUCCUUACUCUUGAGUAAUUGUGUGGAGCGGUUGAUGAGAGAUUUCAAAUCCUUACUGUGAGUAAAAUUGUGUGGAGCGGAAAUGAUCCCUUCUGCACUUAUUUUAGACUUUCAGCAUGGUGUAUCUUAUAAUCAACAUAACAUUGCAUGAAAAGUCAUAGUUUCAUUGCUUUUGUUUGGGUAUUUCCCUUGCUUGAAUUUUCCAAGGCACUCAUUGGGUCUUUCAUAUAUUGUAUCAAAUUGCGUUUGAGACAAUGUUAGCUGUUAGUGUAUUUUUCUGCCUUUUCUUUUAAUUUUCAAUGGGGGGUUACCCCUCCUGUGUUUGAGUAAUCUCUUUACUCCUUUUGGUUUGAUGAGGGACUUCAUCUCCCUAGUAUGAGCAAUUGUUUGUUGUGCGAUUAUGUAUUUUAUAAAUAUUUUGGAAUUUCAGCAUGCAUAUCUUAUAAUGUUGACAUAACUUUGAAUCAGAAGUCGUGACUUGGUUCCUGUUGAGGCAAUGUUUGUUGCUCUUGUAUUUUGUAUGUUUUUAUUUUCCUUCCUUCCUUCAUUCUUUCUUUUCUAUUUUCCUUUUUUUUGUUUUGAAGGAAAUUGAAAUUGCUUCACCUGUGAUUAAUUAAUCCUGUACAUGUUCUGAUUUGAUGGGGAACUUAUUUUUUUUCGUUGGUGUGUACUUUUGUGUUAUGGCAAUUUUCUCGCUGUUGUUUGGUUAUUCUUCUUGCUUGAAGGUUGUGUGUUUAGUCAUUGGUUCUUUUAUAUAUUGGGUAAAGCUGUGUCACUUUUCUGCUUCCCAAUUUCAUUCGAUGUUAGCUAUCUGGAAGAGCUCAGGUUGCAGGGCCUUUUGAGUUUUUAUGUUCUAAGAAUCUGGAAUUUUUUUAGCUUUCCAUCUGCCGUUGUUUGUGCGGAUUGGGCUGAGCUGUUGAGAUAUGGUUUCUGUUACUAUAUUGUUUAGCUUUUCUGCUUGCAGUUAUUGUAUUUUAUGUGUUUUUUCUUUGUUUUCAAUGGUGUUACUUCACCUGAGAUUGAGUGAUCCCUUUGCUUGUCCUGAUUUGAUGAGAGAUUUCAAUUACUUACUGUGAGUAAUUGUGUGGAGCGGAAAUAAUCCCUUCUGCAUAUGUUUUAUACUUUCAGCUUAGUGUAUGUUAUAAUCAACAUGACAUUGCAUGAAAAGUCAUAGUUUCAUUUCUUUUGUUUGGGUAUUUCUUUUGCUUGAAUUUUCCAAGGCACUCAUUGGGUCUUUUAUAUAUUGGGCCAAAUUGUGUUUUGAGUCGAUGUUAGCUGUUACUGUAUUUUUUCUGCCGUUUCUUUUAAUUUCCAAUGGGGGUUACCCCUCCUGUGUUUGAGUAAUCUCUAUAUUACUUUUGAUUUGAUGAGGGACUUCAUCUCCCUAGUGUGAGCAAUUGCAUGUUUUUCAAUUAUCUAUUUUACAAAUAUUUUGGAAUUUCAGCAUGGCAUAUCUUAUAAUGUUGACAUAACUUUGAAUCAGAAGUCGUAACUUUGUCGCUGUUGAGGCAACAUUUGUUGCUAUUGUAUUUUGUAUGUUUUCCAUUUCUUUCUUUCAUUCAUUCUUUCUUCUCUAUUUUUUUUUUGUGAAGGAAAUGGAGAUUACUCCACCUGUGAUUUAUUAAUCCUGUACAUGUUCUGAUUUGAUGAGGGAGUUCUUUUUUUCCUUUGGCGUGUACAAUUUUAGUUGUGGCAAUUUUCUCGCUGUUGUUUGGUUAUUCUUCUUGCUUGAAGGUUGUGUGUUUAGUCUUUGGUUCUUUUAUAUAUUGGGUAAAGCUGUGUCACUUUUCUGCUUCGAAAUUUCAUUUGAUGUUAGCGAACUGGAAGAGCUCAAGUUGCAGGGCCUUUUGAGUUUUUAUGUUCUAAGAAUCUAGAAUUUGUUUAGCUUUCCAUCUGCUGUUGUUUGUGCAGCUUGGGCUGAGCUGUUGAGAUAAUGGUUUCUGUUACUAUAUUGUUUAGCUUUUCUGCUUGCAGUUAUUGUAUUUUAUGUGUUUUUUUUAUUUGUCUGCAAUGGGGUACUCCACCUGGGAUUGAGUGAUCCCUUUGCUUGCCCUGAUUCGAUGAGAGAUUUCAUUUCCUUAUUGUGAGUAAUUUUGUGGAGCGGAAAUAAUCCCUUCUGCACAUAUUUUGACUUGUGAGAAAUAUCAUAUACUGUUGGAACUUGUGUAUAGGUUUUCAUAGUUUCAUUGCUGUUGUUUGGAGGUUCCAUUGCACCUAUUGGUUCCUUAACAUUCUUUAUAAGUUCGGCCAAACUAUAAUACUUUCUGCUUCACGUUUUCGUAGUAUGCCAGUCAAUUAUAGGACCUCAAAUUACACAUUGUUUAUUGAGUUCAUAUUUUCUGUGAACUGUUGUUUAAAGCUUGCUAUUAACAAUGUUUUUGUGUGUGUUCUAUUGCAAUGGGGGUAACUCAACUUGGAUGGAGUCAUCGCUUUGCUUUGGCCUGACUUGAUUUCUCGGAUGGAAACAAUUGUUUGGAAUGACAAUACUCUCGUACUGCGGAUUAUUAUCCUUAUCGCUAUCUACCUUGUGCACUAGCUUGCAAUUUUGACAUUUGAGCAACACCAGGCAAUCCUGCAAUUUCUUUGAGUGGCUUCCACACAAAUUUUCUCCUGUUGGAAGAAGUGAUAAAAAAGAGACAGCAAAAUGGCAAAGAAUUGCAUCAAAUUCUGCUGUUUGUUUGCUAAGGAACAAAAAGGGGAUAAUUGAUUUUACCAGUUCCCGCAUUCUGCAACGACCCGGACGUUAGGCCGGAGACUGGGAAGCAAAGCUAGAAACUGCAGCUCUGCCCUGGACAAAACCUGAAUCAAUUUGCAAAGAGACGUGGCAGGCAAAGCCAAAUCAUCAUCGGGCAAUGAAUUUGCAAAGAGACGUGGCAGGCAAAGCCAAAUCAUCAUCAGGCAAUGGGAGUAAUUAAUUAAAUGGUGAAUCGGUACGCUAGCAUUGAUAUCAUAUAUAUCACACCUUGGCUUCAAUUAUCCAAACCACUAAGCCCUUGGCACCCGGAGGCAGCAACGAGAGCCUGUAAUCCACUUCGGGUGGGAAAUACCACCUCGCUAUUGGUUGCUUCCCCACGUGGGCCUGCGAAAGUGUAAGAUUAAUUCUAAGUCACGUUAUGCAGAAUUUUUACGUUUUUCUUGUAUUAGGGACGCUCACCGGGCAAACGGGGUGGAUCUUGGUGAGAGUGGUCUCGGGAUCGCCGAGGCCGCGCGCGGAGAGGUCGAGGAAUUGGUAGCCCUGGUACCGGAGCCGGGUAAGGUAGCGGCCCUCGUAGCCUCCUUCGUGGGGAGAGUAGAUGGCCAGGGCCUUGUGCUCUUCGACGUCUGACAGCCACUGGCCCAAAUCGAACUUCACCAAGUCUCCUCCGAUGAAGUCCUCGAGUCCAGUGGCACAGGUCGUCCUCAGCGCCCUCUUCUUGCUCCACCGGCCUGCUAGUCGUGGCUUCGUUGCGGGGUAGAAUGGCGAGAGCUGUUGCUUUGGGAGAGUUGUGAUGGGAGGCAGCAGCGCGCUUGUAGCGGCCAUUUCAGUCGGUCUUGGCCGGUUUUUAUCCACAGAUAGAGGGUGAAAGAAAUGGCCAUCACAAAGGCUAAAAGCGGAGGUUUUGGGUUAAGUGAUAGCUGGAGCUGGGAUAUGAGGUUGAUGGUGGAGAAAGAAGAUAAGAGGCUGACGCUGAAAUCGCACGUGGAACUGUGAUAAGGCAACGUGCUUAAUGGUGUGCUACGUCUCAAGAGGGCGUGGAGUGUGGUCUAAGUAGACCCUGUGGGACUUGUCCCGUUUUAAUAUGGAAUGAAAAUCAAUGGUAAUUUUAGAGUAUGUAGUGGGUAUGGGUAUUCGACCAAUUAGAGGUGUAGAGCAUUUUUUAUUUAUUUAUAUGACACCUCGAUAUUGAUGUAUCGUUUCAUUUAUUUUUACACUCUAUGUCUUAAAGAUUAAUACCUAAAAUGUAAUAUAACAAUCUCUAUAAAUCAAAUACUACUUUUACCCUU